AAUACUGUUUAGUACCCUGUGGUAUGGGUCCAACAUCAAUUCAGUCCCUCAACUUUCAAUUUCAUCAAAAACACCCCCAAACUAGUAAUUUCUCGUCCAAUAGGUCCCUCCGUCGGGAUUCUGUCAAUUUCCGACGUUAAGCUGCUGACGUGGCAUUUCCAACUCAGCAAGUGGGGCCCACAUGAAAGCCAAUUUCCCAAACUGACCUCGGCUUCCAACACCUCUCCUCCCCCUCCCAAGAUCUCCUCGACCUAAACCCACCUUCUCUUUCUCCCACCACCACCACUACUUUCACAGAGAACCCAACCCAACUCGUGAUCAAGCUAUAUCAAAUCAGAGCCCCAAAUUGCAAGUUUGCACCUCCGACGAAGAACACAACAAACAAAACCAGCCUAACUAAUUUCUCAAUUCCGAGCUCUUCAACUCAGCCUAAUCAACGAUUGAAGCUCGACCCAUCCUCAGUUCGUUAUCUAGGAUGGAAACACUAUCUAGAAUAGACCCAGAAACAUCAGCAUCGACGCCGUGAACCCGAUGAUACACUCAAAAUAUCAAGCCGUUCAAAUCUUGAACAAAAUCAGAAACUAGAUAUACAAAGAAGUAGAACUCCACGAGAUGAUCAUGUUUCGUACCUCAUGCACCUCAAACGAUGGCCGGAAAAAGCUGGAGAACCGCCGAAGCUGUCGAAGCUUGCCGGCGUCGAUUCUCUCUCUCUCUCUCUCUAAUUCUUUCUGGGUUCGGAGCUUUUAGAGUUUUAGAGAAAGACCCAGAUAAAGAUUCGAGAAACGAGAAAUGGAGGACCGAUCAAGAACUGGGUUGCACGAUUUUACUAGGGCUUCAAGAAAGGCUAAAGAAUCAGAUUGGUUGAUUCAUCUUUCAAGUCAUUUUUCGUUUUGAUUUUACAAUAUGUGGGUUUGGUAGUCUAAUAGAAAAGAAACUGGUACGAUUUGUGGUGUGGUCAUAUAUAAUUCUUGUCAAGUAAGAACAAUUGGCUUAAUUGAAUUGAUGAAUUGAUUUUCUUGCAAA
Molecule: long non-coding RNA, 1023 nt
Organism: Rosa rugosa (rugosa rose)
Lineage: Eukaryota; Viridiplantae; Streptophyta; Magnoliopsida; Rosales; Rosaceae
Exons: 2
Source: RefSeq, a predicted model, not a curated record